CAGCAGCCGCGGGAACACGGAGGGAGCUAGCGUUGUUCGGAAUUACUGGGCGUAAAGCGCACGUAGGCGGCUUUGUAAGUUAGAGGUGAAAGCCUGGAGCUCAACUCCAGAAUUGCCUUUAAGACUGCAUCGCUUGAAUCCGGGAGAGGUGAGUGGAAUUCCGAGUGUAGAGGUGAAAUUCGUAGAUAUUCGGAAGAACACCAGUGGCGAAGGCGGCUCACUGGACCGGCAUUGACGCUGAGGUGCGAAAGCGUGGGGAGCAAACAGGAUUAGAUACCCCCGUAGUCCCUGUCUCUUAUAC
RNAcentral lists this ribosomal RNA (301 nucleotides) under uncultured bacterium. RNAcentral's name for it is "partial 16S ribosomal RNA". It matches the Rfam family "Bacterial small subunit ribosomal RNA", at positions 509 to 807 of the family's 1533-position model. The record is from RNAcentral.